This 301-nucleotide ribosomal RNA is filed under the name uncultured bacterium. Its description in RNAcentral is "partial 16S ribosomal RNA". It matches the Rfam family "Bacterial small subunit ribosomal RNA", at positions 509 to 807 of the family's 1533-position model. The record is from RNAcentral.
CAGCAGCCGCGGGAAUACAGAGGGUGCGAGCGUUAAUCGGAUUUACUGGGCGUAAAGCGUGCGUAGGCGGCUUCUUAAGUCGGAUGUGAAAUCCCUGAGCUUAACUUAGGAAUUGCAUUCGAUACUGGGAAGCUAGAGUAUGGGAGAGGAUGGUAGAAUUCCAGGUGUAGCGGUGAAAUGCGUAGACAUCUGGAGGAAUACCGAUGGCGAAGGCAGCCAUCUGGCCUAAUACUGACGCUGAGGUACGAAAGCAUGGGGAGCAAACAGGAUUAGAUACCCCGGUAGUCCCUGUCUCUUAUAC